This 455-nucleotide ribosomal RNA is filed under the name uncultured bacterium. Its description in RNAcentral is "bacterial SSU rRNA". It matches the Rfam family "Bacterial small subunit ribosomal RNA", at positions 335 to 799 of the family's 1533-position model. The record is from RNAcentral.
ACUCCUACCGGGAGGCAGCAGUGGGGAAGUCUUGGACAAUGGGCGCAAGCCUGAUCCAGCCAUGCCGCGUGAGUGAAGAAGGCCCUAGGGUCGUAAAACUCUUUCGCCAGGGAUGAUAAUGACAGUACCUGGUAAAGAAACCCCGGCCUAACUCCGUGCCAGCAGCCGCGGUAAUACGGAGGGGGUUAGCGUUGUUCGGAAUUACUGGGGCGUAAAGCGUACGUAGGCGGAUUAGUCAGUCAGAGGUGAAAUCCCCAGGGGCUCAACCCUGGAACUGCCUUUUGAUACUGCUAGUCUUGAGUUCGAGAGAGGUGAGUGGAAUUCCAAGUGUAGAGGUGAAAUUCGUAGAUAUUUGGAGGAACACCAGUGGCGAAGGCGGCUCACUGGCUCGAUACUGACGCUGAGGUACGAAAGUGUGGGGAGCAAACAGGAUUAGAUACCCUGGUAGGAUAGCG